GACGAACGCUGGCGGCGUGCUUAACACAUGCAAGUCGAACGGUAAGGCUCCAGUUUGCUGGGGCACAAGAGUGGCGAACGGGUGAGUAACACGUGGGUGACCUGCCCUGCACUUCGGGAUAAGCCUGGGAAAAUGGGUCUAAUACCGGAUAGGACCGCACCGGGAGGGUGUGGUGGAAAGUUUUUUCGGUGUGGGAUGGGUCGGCGGCCGAUCAGCUUGUUGGUGGGGUAAUGGCCUACCAAGGCGGCGACGGGUAGCCGGCCUGAGAGGGUGGACGGCCACAUUGGGACUGAGACACGGCCCGGACUCCUACGGGAGGCAGCAGUGGGGAAUAUUGCACAAUGGGCGGAAGCCUGAUGCAGCGACGCCGCGUGGGGGAUGACGGCCUUCGGUUUGUAAACUCCUUUCACCAUCGACGAAGGGUUUCUGACGGUAGAUGGAGAAGAAGCACCGGCUAACUACGUG
RNAcentral lists this ribosomal RNA (465 nucleotides) under uncultured bacterium. Its description in RNAcentral is "partial 16S ribosomal RNA". It matches the Rfam family "Bacterial small subunit ribosomal RNA", at positions 28 to 507 of the family's 1533-position model. The record is from RNAcentral.